GGAGUUAGCCGGUGCUUCUUCUGUGAGUGAUGUCCUUCCUGCCGGCUAUUAACCCGCAGGCCUUCUUCCUCACUGAAAGUGCUUUACAACCCGAAGGCCUUCUUCACACACGCGGCAUGGCUGGAUCAGGGUUGCCCCCAUUGUCCAAUAUUCCCCACUGCUGCCUCCCGUAGGAGUCUGGGCCGUGUCUCAGUCCCAGUGUGGCUGAUCAUCCUCUCAGACCAGCUACGGAUCGUCGCCUUGGUGAGCCGUUACCUCACCAACCAGCUAAUCCGACAUAGGCUCAUCCGAUAGCGCGAGGCCCGAAGGUCCCCCGCUUUCCCCCGUAGGGCGUAUGCGGUAUUAGCCUGGGUUUCCCCAGGUUAUCCCCCACUACCGGGCAGAUUCCUAUGCAUUACUCACCCGUCCGCCGCUCGCCACCAGGGAGCAAGCUCCCCGUGCUGCCGCUCGACUUGCAUGUGUUAGGCCUGCCGCCGNGUCGUACACUCGUAGACGCCAGUAGACUAACAAACCUUCGUACGUACGUAGACGGGCGGUCGUCGGACGAACGGCCGACUAAGU
RNAcentral lists this ribosomal RNA (561 nucleotides) under uncultured bacterium. Its description in RNAcentral is "partial 16S ribosomal RNA". The record is from RNAcentral.